GUGAAGAUGAAACAAGAGCCAGAAGAAGCUGGAAGAAGAAGAAAAUCAGGAAUCAGCCAGCAGUGAGAGGAAGAAAUGCUGACGCAUGAAGGUAAAGCUCGCGUGAAGAAGGAAGACGAGACGGUGAGAGGGACACAUGGAGCCAUUUCAGUCUCUGCAAGUGACGCCGAAAUGACAUUCUGCCUCAUUAGGACCAGGUUCUGGUCUCCAUGACGACAACUGGUCCCGACAAGGUCAGCGUUUAUGCUGAACAGG
Molecule: long non-coding RNA, 255 nt
Organism: Solea solea (common sole)
Lineage: Eukaryota; Metazoa; Chordata; Actinopteri; Pleuronectiformes; Soleidae
Exons: 4
Source: RefSeq, a predicted model, not a curated record